CGCGCUUGUUACUACCGGGGGUAACCGAUCGUCCUCCUUGCUGCUCUGCGGGAUCUCCUCCCCCGCGACACUUCCCUAAAGGAGAUUGGAUUGAAUUUCUACCUAGGUAUCUGAUGCGCCUUCUUAUAAUACCACAUUUUGUUUGUGAGCGGAGGGAACGGAAAAUGAAUGUUGUAGGGCUGUAUGGAAUUCCUAUUAAUAACAGAGCUAUGAGUGAAACUCAGAAGGUUGCACCAGAUUUCAAGGUGACUUGAAAGGACAAGAAAAGUAUGAAAAGCUCAAUGAAGGAAAAAAAGAAGUAUGAUGCUGUAAAUAUAUGCGUGUGUAUCUGCAGUUUCAGGUUGGGCAGAUAUGAAGCCAGCGGGACUGUACUCAAGGCGCAAGACCCAUGACAGAAAAUGUGCCCAGCCCAGAAGCUGUCUGCCUUCACAUGGACACACAGCUGGCUACAACAUGCUUAAUAGUUGAGGAAACUAGAGGCCAAACUGGAUGCUGUUUUCCAGAUGAGGCCAACCACUCCCAGAGUACUGUGAGACCUCCUCAAGCCAGAGAGAACAGUGGGCACCCUUUGCCUUCCUUGCUCUCCUAAAAUGUCACAGCCGGGGGGGAGGGGUGGUCACACUCUGUGCUAGGGCUAUUGGUGAGUAUUAAAAGACAUGCUGACAUGGAA
Molecule: long non-coding RNA, 670 nt
Organism: Mastomys coucha (southern multimammate mouse)
Lineage: Eukaryota; Metazoa; Chordata; Mammalia; Rodentia; Muridae
Exons: 3
Source: RefSeq, a predicted model, not a curated record